RNAcentral lists this ribosomal RNA (1463 nucleotides) under uncultured organism. RNAcentral describes it as "SSU rRNA". It matches the Rfam family "Bacterial small subunit ribosomal RNA". The record is from RNAcentral.
AUUGAACGCUGGCGGCAGGCCUAACACAUGCAAGUCGAGCGGUAGCACAGAGAGCUUGCUCUCGGGUGACGAGCGGCGGACGGGUGAGUAAUGUCUGGGAAACUGCCUGAUGGAGGGGGAUAACUACUGGAAACGGUAGCUAAUACCGCAUAAUGUCGCAAGACCAAAGUGGGGGACCUUCGGGCCUCAUGCCAUCAGAUGUGCCCAGAUGGGAUUAGCUAGUAGGUGGGGUAACGGCUCACCUAGGCGACGAUCCCUAGCUGGUCUGAGAGGAUGACCAGCCACACUGGAACUGAGACACGGUCCAGACUCCUACGGGAGGCAGCAGUGGGGAAUAUUGCACAAUGGGCGCAAGCCUGAUGCAGCCAUGCCGCGUGUGUGAAGAAGGCCUUCGGGUUGUAAAGCACUUUCAGCGGGGAGGAAGGCGGUGAGGUUAAUAACCUCAUCGAUUGACGUUACCCGCAGAAGAAGCACCGGCUAACUCCGUGCCAGCAGCCGCGGUAAUACGGAGGGUGCAAGCGUUAAUCGGAAUUACUGGGCGUAAAGCGCACGCAGGCGGUCUGUCAAGUCGGAUGUGAAAUCCCCGGGCUUAACCUGGGAACUGCAUUCGAAACUGGCAGGCUAGAGUCUUGUAGAGGGGGGUAGAAUUCCAGGUGUAGCGGUGAAAUGCGUAGAGAUCUGGAGGAAUACCGGUGGCGAAGGCGGCCCCCUGGACAAAGACUGACGCUCAGGUGCGAAAGCGUGGGGAGCAAACAGGAUUAGAUACCCUGGUAGUCCACGCCGUAAACGAUGUCGAUUUGGAGGUUGUGCCCUUGAGGCGUGGCUUCCGGAGCUAACGCGUUAAAUCGACCGCCUGGGGAGUACGGCCGCAAGGUUAAAACUCAAAUGAAUUGACGGGGGCCCGCACAAGCGGUGGAGCAUGUGGUUUAAUUCGAUGCAACGCGAAGAACCUUACCUGGUCUUGACAUCCACAGAACUUUCCAGAGAUGGAUUGGUGCCUUCGGGAACUGUGAGACAGGUGCUGCAUGGCUGUCGUCAGCUCGUGUUGUGAAAUGUUGGGUUAAGUCCCGCAACGAGCGCAACCCUUAUCCUUUGUUGCCAGCGGUUAGGCCGGGAACUCAAAGGAGACUGCCAGUGAUAAACUGGAGGAAGGUGGGGAUGACGUCAAGUCAUCAUGGCCCUUACGACCAGGGCUACACACGUGCUACAAUGGCAUAUACAAAGAGAAGCGACCUCGCGAGAGCAAGCGGACCUCAUAAAGUAUGUCGUAGUCCGGAUUGGAGUCUGCAACUCGACUCCAUGAAGUCGGAAUCGCUAGUAAUCGUAGAUCAGAAUGCUACGGUGAAUACGUUCCCGGGCCUUGUACACACCGCCCGUCACACCAUGGGAGUGGGUUGCAAAAGAAGUAGGUAGCUUAACCUUCGGGAGGGCGCUUACCACUUUGUGAUUCAUGACUGGGGUGA